CGAGGAUUCCCUUAGUAACUGCGAGUGAACGGGGAAAAGCCCAUCGCUGAAUCCUUCAGCCACUGGCUGCUAGGAAUUGUAGCGUAUAGGUGCGGCUGUCCGUUCGUUUCGUGCACCCAAAGUCCCCUUGAGCGGGGCUAUAGUCCAAAGAAGGUGCUAGACCUGUACGGGUGGCGAGGCGAUCGGUUGGUUGCUCCUUGGAGUCGGGUUGCCUGGGAUCGCAGCCCAAAGUUGGUGGUAGACCUCAUCUAAGGCUAAAUAUGGCCACGAAACCGAUAGCAAACAAGUACCGUGAGGGAAAGUUGCAAAGAACUUUGAAGAGAGAGUUCAAGAGGGCGUGAAACCGUUGAGAUUGAAACGGAUAGAGUUGACGGAACUCAGCUGCAUUCAUCCGAUCGGCCUAGUGGCCCGAUAGCGUUCGCAUCCUCGAUGAGGGCAACGUUAUCGGUAACUAUUGGGUAAUUGAUCGGUGUAUUUGCGGCUGGUAUGCGCUGAGAGUUUUGUGAUCGCAUGUUAACGGGUGUGCAGUGGACCAUUCCUUCCGGGCGUGGAACCCUUCACAUUUUUAGACAUGUCGAUUAUAAAGUUUUGAACGUGGCGUCUCCGCUAUUGUGCGUCGGCUUAUGCGUGCUAUCGUGAUUAUUUGAUAUUCGCAUGCGAAUGUCUGUAAUUAACGAUGAUGCGACAAAAGUGUGAGCGCGUUGAGACGUGCAUCUCGGUGUGAACGUUGACCACCUAUCCGA
RNAcentral lists this ribosomal RNA (743 nucleotides) under Baylisascaris transfuga (bear roundworm). RNAcentral describes it as "eukaryotic LSU rRNA". It matches the Rfam family "Eukaryotic large subunit ribosomal RNA", at positions 69 to 647 of the family's 3401-position model. Lineage: Eukaryota; Metazoa; Nematoda; Chromadorea; Rhabditida; Ascarididae. The record is from RNAcentral.